RNAcentral lists this long non-coding RNA (3247 nucleotides) under Salmo salar (Atlantic salmon). RNAcentral describes it as "lncRNA (ENSSSAG00000107475.1)". Lineage: Eukaryota; Metazoa; Chordata; Actinopteri; Salmoniformes; Salmonidae. The record is from RNAcentral.
CGACCGGGAAAGUGUGUUUACGUUCAAAGAGAGAGAAAAUAAAAACAUGGGAUCCCCUCGUGCAAGAGCCUCAGUCUGAUGGUCCUCUGAUCGGCCACUUACCAAAGGCGAUAAUGUUUUUCAGUCAGGGGCUGGAAUUACAUCAUUCAGCUUUUUCCCGGGUUCUGAGAGCCUAUGGGAGCCGUAGGAGGUGUCACGUUACAGCAAAGAUCCUCAGUUUUCAAUAAACAGAGCCAAGAAGCUCAAGGAAUGGUCAGAGAGGGCACUUCCUGUACAGACUCUUCUCAGGUUUUUGCCUGCCAUAUGAGUUCUGUUAUACUCACAGACACCAUUCAAACAGUUUUAGAAACUUUAGGGUGUUUUCUAUCCAAAGCCAAUAAUUAUAUGCAUAUUCUAGUUUCUGGGCAGUAGUAAUAACCAGAUUAAAUCGGGUACGUUUUUUAUCCGGCCGUGUAAAUACUGCCCCCUAGCCCUAACAGGUUAACCCUAGCCUUGCCCCGAACUGCCACUCUUAUGGGUCAGAAUAUAAUGAUGUAAUUACGUGUUGGAGGUCUCAGAUGGGAAGCUCCGCAUGGGUCGUUUAGGCUUCUCAGUGACGCACUUCUCCGACGCAACUCUCUGGUUGUCCUCACGAUGUCAGUGUCCUUUGGGCUUAGUGGUCUGAUUCCUCACCCUUUCUCUGAAAGGGGCCUUCUGAGGAUAGACAGCUCUGUAGCUCAGAGCUCACAGCGUAGGAAUUAAACAGUGUAGAUACCACAAUUCAGUGGAGAGUGGAGGCUAGGUGGUUCUGCUUGAAUUCACCCGCUUAGACACAGCUACUCAUCCAUAGCUUGGGUAGAAAAAUAUUUCUUUGUCUUCAACCUUGUGUGGCGUUGUGGAGUUCGUUGACCUUUUGGCUGCAGCCUGGGGUCACUUGGUCUCCUCUGUUCAUUCUUCACUCCCCUGUCUUAUACCUUCGGGUCAGAAGUGGGCAUAACCGCCUUUAGGGCAAUUCUCUGGGCGUACCAAGUUAUUAAGAGGCAAGGCCUAGAUUUUACUCAAAUUCAAUUUUAGACAACUAACUUCACAUUUCAUCUUUACCAAAACAUUCUCUUUGAUUUGGACAUUUUCCACACAAUGUACAAUGUAUAAACAUCAGGCAUAUACUGGGAAAACUCUUAAAGGUACAAUGUUUUCAUAAUAACGUCAUCUGUUAACCUUUAAUUACAAAACAAAAAUUACAUACAUUUUCAUAUUCCAUCUAUCGUCAUGACCACCAUUGUGGCUGACGGAAACCAUUGUUCCAAAGUCCCUUUAUUGCAUGUUUAAUGUUCUGAGGCUGGUUCUCCAUAGUGAGAGGACAAAGAAAUGUUGUCUGUGGCCUAAGAUUUAUCAUGGGCGUGAGGGGUCAUAAAACCCCCACAUCUUCAGACCCCUAGAUCUCUCCUCCUCUGUUGGGGGUUUGGGAGAUAAUCUGUAGGGUUGUGGUCUCCUGUAACCUGACCUGAUCAGGACAGUCAUGACAUUGUUUAACUGAAAUGGAUGAGUUUGGUCUACAGUAUAUAUGUUGCGUUUACACUGGCAACAUAAUUCUGAUCUUUUAUUCACUAAUUGGUAUUUUGACCAAUCAGUUCUGCUCUGAAAAGAAUCUGAUGUGACCAUUUUAGUGGAAAAAAGAUCAGAAUUUGUCUGUCUAAACGCAGCAUAGUGGUUCAUUGGAUGAAAAUAAUUAAUACACACUAAAGGUCUUCAUGGGUCCAACCGAAUACCCGGCCAAGACCCGAUCCGGGACCGAGUGUCCUGUUUGAUUGGUAUCGGCUCUAUGUAAUUAACUGAUAGACCCGAAUGGACCCAACCACGGCUCUACAUAGCCUAUAGCAUAUUUAUUUUAUGCUAAUAAAGGGAAUGUAUUGACUUUUCAAAGGCCUAGCCAACAUAUAAAGACCUAUUUGCUAACUAGAAGAGCAACUUGGCUGAUAAACAUCACUUUUCUUUUGUCUUUGGGUCCAUUCGGGUCCAGGUCCCCCUUUAAAAUAAAUAUCAGGUUCAGGUAUGAUUGGUGACCUCGGGUCCAGGUCUAACUUUCAGGUCCAGGUAUGAUUGGUGACCUCGGGUCCAGGUAUGAUUGGUGACCUCGGGUCCAGGUCUAACUUUCAGGUCCAGGUAUGAUUGGUGACCUCGGGUCCAGGUCUAACUUUCAGGUCCAGGUAUGAUUGGUGACCUCAGGUCCAGGUCUAACUUUCAGGGCCAAGAAGACCUCUAAACCUCAUUGGAGACAUUAACCACGUUUCCAUCCACAGUUUUUAUGCAAGUAAAGUCAUACGGUAUAAAAAAUUAAAUAAUGACAGUUGUGAUGGAAACAGGUCGUUUCAGGUACAAUUUUAUAAAAUAAUUAUAAGUACUGGUGGGAUCUUCUUGUGUCUGUAAAAUGUAUUAUGAAAACACCAUUAUAAGCAAAUAUUGAUAUAACCAUCAUAUCGAAGUCAAUUUUGGAGUCACGCGAUGACAUGGUGUGUGGUCCUCCCACUACGACUCAGGAAACCAUGCAGUUUAUUAGACUACAGAUGAAACAUGUUGUGUGGUCCUCCCACUACGACUCAGGAAACCAUGCAGUUUAUUAGACUACAGAUGAAACAUGUUGUGUGGUCCUCCCACUACGACUCAGGAAACCAUGCAGUUUAUUAGACUACAGAUGAAACAUGUUGUGUGGUCCUCCCACUACGACUCCAGAAACCAUGCAGUUUAUUAGACUACAGAUGAAACAUGUUGUGUGGUCCUCCCACUACGACUCAGGAAACCAUGCAGUUUAUUAGACUACAGAUGAAACAUGUUGUGUGGUCCUCCCACUACGACUCAGGAAACCAUGCAGUUUAUUAGACUACAGAUGAAACAUGUUGUGUGGUCCUCCCACUACGACUCAGGAAACCAUGCAGUUUAUUAGACUACAGAUGAAACAUGUUGUGUGGUCCUCCCACUACGACUCCAGAAACCAUGCAGUUUAUUAGACUACAGAUGAAACAUGUUGUGUGGUCCUCCCACUACGACUCAGGAAACCAUGCAGUUUAUUAGACUACAGAUGAAACAUGUUGUGUGGUCCUCCCACUACGACUCAGGAAACCAUGCGGUUUAUUAGACUACAGAUGAAACAUGUUGUGUGGUCCUCCCACUACGACUCAGGAAACCAUGCGGUUUAUUAGGCUACAGAUUAAAUCAAUUAUGAUCAGGUCUGUAACCAGAGUUUGAGGUUUAAAAAGUGACUCAUUAUGCA